This 302-nucleotide ribosomal RNA is filed under the name uncultured bacterium. Its description in RNAcentral is "bacterial SSU rRNA". It matches the Rfam family "Bacterial small subunit ribosomal RNA", at positions 28 to 319 of the family's 1533-position model. The record is from RNAcentral.
GACGAACGCUGGCGGUGUGCUUCACACAUGCAAGUCGAACGAGCGACUUUUGAGUAGCAAUACGAUUAAGAAGCUAGUGGCGGACGGGUGAGUAACGCGUAGGAAUCUGCCUUCAAAUGGGGGAGUAACUGGCCGAAAGGCUAGCUAAUACCGCAUACGUGUGUAUCCCGACAGGGAUAUACAUAAAAGGAGCAAUCCGUUUGUAGAUGAGCCUGCGUCCGAUUAGCUAGUUGGUAGGGUAAUGGCCUACCAAGGCUCCGAUCGGUAGGUGGGUCUGAGAGGAUGAUCACCCACAAUGGGAC